This 417-nucleotide ribosomal RNA is filed under the name uncultured bacterium. RNAcentral's name for it is "bacterial SSU rRNA". It matches the Rfam family "Bacterial small subunit ribosomal RNA", at positions 355 to 787 of the family's 1533-position model. The record is from RNAcentral.
UAGGGAAUCUUCGGCAAUGGGCGAAAGCCUGACCGAGCGACGCCGCGUGGGGGAUGAAGGCCUUCGGGUCGUAAACCCCUGUCCUUGGGGACGAAGUGCUGACGGUACCCAAGGAGGAAGCCCCGGCUAACUACGUGCCAGCAGCCGCGGUAAAACGUAGGGGGCGAGCGUUGUCCGGAAUCACUGGGCGUAAAGGGUGCGUAGGCGGCCGCUUAAGUCCUGUGUGAAAGGCUCCGGCUUAACCGGAGACGGCCAUGGGAAACUGGGCGGCUUGAGUGCCGGAGAGGGUGGCGGAAUUCCCGGUGUAGCGGUGAAAUGCGUAGAGAUCGGGAGGAACACCAGUGGCGAAGGCGGCCACCUGGACGGUAACUGACGCUGAGGCACGACAGCUGGGGGAGCAAACAGGAUUAGAUACCC